GAGUUAUCUGAACCUUCGGGGAACGAUAACGGCGUCGAGCGGCGGACGGGUGAGUAAUGCCUAGGAAAUUGCCCUGAUGUGGGGGAUAACCAUUGGAAACGAUGGCUAAUACCGCAUGAUGCCUACGGGCCAAAGAGGGGGACCUUCGGGCCUCUCGCGUCAGGAUAUGCCUAGGUGGGAUUAGCUAGUUGGUGAGGUAAGGGCUCACCAAGGCGACGAUCCCUAGCUGGUCUGAGAGGAUGAUCAGCCACACUGGAACUGAGACACGGUCCAGACUCCUACGGGAGGCAGCAGUGGGGAAUAUUGCACAAUGGGCGCAAGCCUGAUGCAGCCAUGCCGCGUGUGUGAAGAAGGCCUUCGGGUUGUAAAGCACUUUCAGUCGUGAGGAAGGUGGUGUAGUUAAUAGCUGCAUUAUUUGACGUUAGCGACAGAAGAAGCACCGGCUAACUCCGUGCCAGCAGCCGCGGUAAUACGGAGGGUGCGAGCGUUAAUCGGAAUUACUGGGCGUAAAGCGCAUGCAGGUGGUUUGUUAAGUCAGAUGUGAAAGCCCGGGGCUCAACCUCGGAAUAGCAUUUGAAACUGGCAGACUAGAGUACUGUAGAGGGGGGUAGAAUUUCAGGUGUAGCGGUGAAAUGCGUAGAGAUCUGAAGGAAUACCGGUGGCGAAGGCGGCCCCCUGGACAGAUACUGACACUCAGAUGCGAAAGCGUGGGGAGCAAACAGGAUUAGAUACCCUGGUAGUCCACGCCGUAAACGAUGUCUACUUGGAGGUUGUGGCCUUGAGCCGUGGCUUUCGGAGCUAACGCGUUAAGUAGACCGCCUGGGGAGUACGGUCGCAAGAUUAAAACUCAAAUGAAUUGACGGGGGCCCGCACAAGCGGUGGAGCAUGUGGUUUAAUUCGAUGCAACGCGAAGAACCUUACCUACUCUUGACAUCCAGAGAACUUUCCAGAGAUGGAUUG
This 960-nucleotide ribosomal RNA is filed under the name Vibrio alginolyticus. RNAcentral's name for it is "bacterial SSU rRNA". It matches the Rfam family "Bacterial small subunit ribosomal RNA", at positions 68 to 1013 of the family's 1533-position model. The record is from RNAcentral. Lineage: Bacteria; Pseudomonadati; Pseudomonadota; Gammaproteobacteria; Vibrionales; Vibrionaceae.